CCUACGGGCGGCAGCAGUGGGGAAUAUUGCGCAAUGGGCGAAAGCCUGACGCAGCGACGCCGCGUGAGGGAUGAAGGUCUUCGGAUCGUAAACCUCUGUCAGCAGGGAAGAACGGUCACUGUGCUAAUCAGCAGUGAAUUGACGGUACCUGCACAGGAAGCACAGGCUAACUCCGUGCCAGCAGCCGCGGUAAUACGGAGGGUGCGAGCGUUAAUCAGAAUGACUGGGCGUAAAGCGUUCGUAGGCGGUAUGUCAAGUCAAGGGUGAAAUCCCCGGGCUCAACGUGGGAACUGCCUUUGAAACUGGCAAACUGGAGUGAGUGAGAGGAUAGUGGAAUUCCAGGUGUAGGAGUGAAAUCCGUAGAUAUCUGGAGGAACAUCAGUGGCGAAGGCGACUAUCUGGCACAUAACUGACGCUGAGGAGCGAAAGCGUGGGUAGCAAACAGGAUUAGAUACCCGAGUAGUC
Molecule: ribosomal RNA, 465 nt
Filed under: uncultured bacterium
Lineage: Bacteria
Description: partial 16S ribosomal RNA
Rfam family: Bacterial small subunit ribosomal RNA
Source: RNAcentral